UCCGUAGGGGUAGUCUGCGGAGGGAUCAUUACACAACAAAAAUAUGAGGGUGUGGUUUGCUGGCAACAGCGUCCGCCCCAAGUAUUUUUCACCCAUGUCUUUUGCGCACUUUUUGUUUCCUGGGCGAGUUCGCUCGCCACCAGGACCCAACCAUAAACCUUUUUUUAUGCAGUUGCAAUCAGCGUCAGUAUAAUAAUUCAAUUUAUUAAAACUUUCAACAACGGAUCUCUUGGUUCUGGCAUCGAUGAAGAACGCAGCGAAAUGCGAUACGUAGUGUGAAUUGCAGAAUUCAGUGAAUCAUCGAAUCUUUGAACGCACAUUGCGCCCUUUGGUAUUCCAAAGGGCAUGCCUGUUCGAGCGUCAUUUGUACCCUCAAGCUUUGCUUGGUGUUGGGCGUCUUUUUGUCUCUCCCCUUGUUGGGGGAGACUCGCCUUAAAACGAUUGGCAGCCGACCUACUGGUUUUCGGAGCGCAGCACAAAUUUGCGCCUUCCAAUCCACGGGGCGGCAUCCAGCAAGCCUUUGUUUUCUAUAACAAAUCCACAUUUUGACCUCGGAUCAGGUAGGGAUACCCGCUGAACUUAAGCAUAUCAAAAA
Molecule: ribosomal RNA, 595 nt
Filed under: Exserohilum rostratum
Lineage: Eukaryota; Fungi; Ascomycota; Dothideomycetes; Pleosporales; Pleosporaceae
Description: eukaryotic LSU rRNA
Rfam family: 5.8S ribosomal RNA (bases 210-363)
Source: RNAcentral